Molecule: unclassified non-coding RNA, 20 nt
Filed under: Mus musculus (house mouse)
Lineage: Eukaryota; Metazoa; Chordata; Mammalia; Rodentia; Muridae
Description: oocyte_clustered_small_RNA4648
Source: RNAcentral
UAACUGGCCACAUUGAAGAA